RNAcentral lists this ribosomal RNA (492 nucleotides) under uncultured bacterium. Its description in RNAcentral is "partial 16S ribosomal RNA". It matches the Rfam family "Bacterial small subunit ribosomal RNA", at positions 29 to 507 of the family's 1533-position model. The record is from RNAcentral.
AGUGAACGCUGGCGGUAGGCCUAACACAUGCAAGUCGAACGGCAGCACAGUAAGAGCUUGCUCUUACGGGUGUCGAGCGGCGGACGGGUGAGGAAUACAUCGGAAUCUACUUUUUCGUGGGGGAUAACGUAGGGAAACUUACGCUAAUACCGCAUACGACCUACGGGUGAAAGCAGGGGAUCUUCGGACCUUGCGCGAUUGAAUGAGCCGAGGUCGGAUUCGCUAGUUGGCGGGGUAAAGGCCCACCAAGGCGACGAUCCGUAACUCGUCUGAGAGGAUGGUCAGACACACUGGAAGUGAGACAGGGUCCAGACUCCUAGGGGAGGCAGCAGUGGGGAAUAUUGGGCAAUGGGGGCAAGCCUGAUACAGCCAUACCGCGUGGGUGAAGAAGGCCUUCGGGUUGUAAAGCCCUGUUGUUGGGAAAGAAGAGCAGCAGGUUAACACCCCGCGGUUCUGACGGUACCCAAAGAAUAAGCACCGGCUAACUUCGUG